GACGAACGCUGGCGGCGUGCUUAACACAUGCAAGUCGAACGAUGAAGCCCUUUCGGGGGUGGAUUAGUGGCGAACGGGUGAGUAACACGUGGGUAACCUGCCCUGUACCCUGGGAUAAGCCUUGGAAACGAGGUCUAAUACCGGAUAUGACCUGCUCUCGCAUGGGGGUGGGUGGAAAGUUUUGGCGGUGCAGGAUGGACCCGCGGCCUAUCAGCUUGUUGGUGGGGUGAUGGCCUACCAAGGCGACGACGGGUAGCCGCCUGAGAGGGCGACCGGCCACACUGGGACUGAGACACGGCCCAGACUCCUACGGGAGGCAGCAGUGGGGAAUAUUGCACAAUGGGCGAAAGCCUGAUGCAGCGACGCCGCGUGAGGGAUGACGGCC
RNAcentral lists this ribosomal RNA (385 nucleotides) under uncultured bacterium. RNAcentral's name for it is "bacterial SSU rRNA". It matches the Rfam family "Bacterial small subunit ribosomal RNA", at positions 28 to 416 of the family's 1533-position model. The record is from RNAcentral.